UCGGACUAGGAUAUAGCUGGUUUUCUGCGAAAUUUGUUUUAGCAAAUUGUUUAUUUUUAUUAUUAAUAGGUAUAGCACUGAAUAUCUCGUUUUAGAAAUAAAAUAAAGAAGGAGUAUGAUAAAUACUUAUUUCGGAAAUUUAAUCUCAGAAUGAUUAAUAAGAUAAGAUAAAUAAUCGGACUUUUUGCGAUAAGGUAUAAAGUCUAAAGGGAAACAGCCCAGAACAGUUGUUAAAGCUCCUAAAUCAUUAUUAAGUGAAAUAAAAGAAGUGAUUUUACUAUGACAAUCAAGAAGUGGGCUUGGAAACAGCCA
RNAcentral lists this ribosomal RNA (312 nucleotides) under uncultured Pneumocystis. Its description in RNAcentral is "LSU rRNA". It matches the Rfam family "Bacterial large subunit ribosomal RNA", at positions 833 to 1118 of the family's 2925-position model. The record is from RNAcentral. Lineage: Eukaryota; Fungi; Ascomycota; Pneumocystomycetes; Pneumocystales; Pneumocystaceae.